This 429-nucleotide ribosomal RNA is filed under the name Chloroflexota bacterium. RNAcentral describes it as "Chloroflexi bacterium partial 16S ribosomal RNA". It matches the Rfam family "Bacterial small subunit ribosomal RNA", at positions 355 to 776 of the family's 1533-position model. The record is from RNAcentral. Lineage: Bacteria; Bacillati; Chloroflexota.
UGGGGAAUAUUGCACAAUGGGCGCAAGCCUGAUGCAGCCAUGCCGCGUGUGUGAAGAAGGCCUUCGGGUUGUAAAGCACUUUCAGCGGGGAGGAAGGCGAUAAGGUUAAUAACCUUGUCGAUUGACGUUACCCGCAGAAGAAGCACCGGCUAACUCCGUGCCAGCAGCCGCGGUAAUACGGAGGGUGCAAGCGUUAAUCGGAAUUACUGGGCGUAAAGCGCACGCAGGCGGUCUGUCAAGUCGGAUGUGAAAUCCCGGGGCUCAACCUGGGAACUGCAUUCGAAACUGGCAGGCUAGAGUCUUGUAGAGGGGGGUAGAAUUCCAGGUGUAGCGGUGAAAUGCGUAGAGAUCUGGAGGAAUACCGGUGGCGAAGGCGGCCCCCUGGACAAAGACUGACGCUCAGGUGCGAAAGCGUGGGGAGCAAACAGG